RNAcentral lists this long non-coding RNA (250 nucleotides) under Gossypium raimondii (Peruvian cotton). RNAcentral describes it as "long non-coding RNA (GRAI_LNC008296)". Lineage: Eukaryota; Viridiplantae; Streptophyta; Magnoliopsida; Malvales; Malvaceae. The record is from RNAcentral.
AAAGUGGUAUGCAAUUGUAAAUUAUGUCAUAUGCCAUUCAAUUUAAUGAUUGCUCCAUAUGUAAAAAAAAGUUAUGUAACAUGAGUAUUUAAAUUGUAAUUUUUUAUUUUAGAUGCGAAUUUUUAUUAUAUAUGUAAUUUACCCUAAAAGAUAGUCCAUUUUUAUUAUAUUAUUAUUAAAAGCCAAACAGACAUUCACUUUAAAAAAAAAAAAAACUAGCCCAACAAGGCCAGCAAAACAUGAUCCCCAC